CUACAGGGUGACUUACGUGGGAUCUCGUUCGGCUGAUGGCUUGCCUCUGAGACUGGCAAAUCUUUCUUUC
Oryctolagus cuniculus (rabbit) is the source of this 70-nucleotide small nucleolar RNA. Its record names the gene SNORD30. It matches the Rfam family "Small nucleolar RNA SNORD30". Rfam says of the family: U30 is a member of the C/D class of snoRNA which contain the C (UGAUGA) and D (CUGA) box motifs. The record is from Ensembl. Lineage: Eukaryota; Metazoa; Chordata; Mammalia; Lagomorpha; Leporidae.